AGCAGCCGCGGUAAUUCCAGCUCCAAUAGCGUAUAUUAAAGUUGUUGCAGUUAAAAAGCUCGUAGUUGAAUUUCGGGAUCAAUACGUCGGUCGUGCUUUCGGGUACGUACUGGCGUCAUUGGUUUCUCCUUUCUGACGAACCAUGAUGUCAUUAAUUUGGUGUUAUGGGGAGUUAGGACUGUUACUUUGAAAAAUUAGAGUGUUUAAAGCAAGCAAUCGCUCGAAUACAUUAGCAUGGAAUAAUGAAAUAGGACGUUCGAACCUAUUUUGUUGGUUUCUAGGAUCGACGUAAUGAUUAAUAGGGAUAGUUGGGGCAUUAGUAUUCAAUUGUCAGAGGUGAAAUUCUUGGAUUUAUUGAAGACUAACUACUGCGAAAGCAUUUUGCCAAGGAUGUUUUCAUUAAUCAAGAACGAAAGUUAGGGGAUCGAAGACGAUCAGAUACCGUCGUAGUCUUAACCAUAAACUAU
RNAcentral lists this ribosomal RNA (467 nucleotides) under uncultured Glomus. RNAcentral describes it as "SSU rRNA". It matches the Rfam family "Eukaryotic small subunit ribosomal RNA", at positions 569 to 1040 of the family's 1831-position model. The record is from RNAcentral. Lineage: Eukaryota; Fungi; Glomeromycota; Glomeromycetes; Glomerales; Glomeraceae.